RNAcentral lists this ribosomal RNA (492 nucleotides) under uncultured bacterium. RNAcentral describes it as "partial 16S ribosomal RNA". It matches the Rfam family "Bacterial small subunit ribosomal RNA", at positions 29 to 507 of the family's 1533-position model. The record is from RNAcentral.
AGUGAACGCUGGCGGUAGGCCUAACACAUGCAAGUCGAACGGCAGCACAGUAAGAGCUUGCUCUUACGGGUGGCGAGUGGCGGACGGGUGAGGCAUACAUCGGAAUCUACUUUUUCGUGGGUGAUAACGUAGGGAAACUUACGCUAAUACCGCAUACGACCUACGGGUGAAAGCAGGGGAUCUUCGGACCUUUCGCGAUUGAAUGAGCCGAUGUCGGAUUAGCUAGUUGGCGGGGUAAAGGCCCACCAAGGCGACGAUCCGUAGCUGGUCUGAGAGGAUGAUCGGCCACACUGGAACUGAGACACGGUCCAGACUCCUACGGGAGGCAGCAGUGGGGAAUAUUGGACAAUGGGCGCAAGCCUGAUCCAGCCAUGCCGCGUGGGUGAAGAAGGCCUUCGGGUUGUAAAGCCCUGUUGUUGGGAAAGAAAAGCAGCAGGUUAAUACCCCGCUGUUCUGACGGUACCCAAAGAGUAAGCACCGGCUAACUUCGUG